CCGCCUGGGAAUACCAGGUGCUGUAAGCUU
This 30-nucleotide non-coding RNA is filed under the name Danio rerio (zebrafish). RNAcentral also lists the same sequence under 3 other names. The record is from RNAcentral. Lineage: Eukaryota; Metazoa; Chordata; Actinopteri; Cypriniformes; Danionidae.